Molecule: ribosomal RNA, 383 nt
Filed under: uncultured organism
Description: bacterial SSU rRNA
Rfam family: Bacterial small subunit ribosomal RNA
Source: RNAcentral
CGCAAUGGGCGAAAGUCUGACGGAGCGACGCCGCGUGGAGGAUGAAGUGCUUCGGUAUGUAAACUCCUUUUGCCAGGGAAAAAGUUUAUUGAUUGUACCUGGAGAAUAAGAGGUUGCUAAACUCGUGCCAGCAGCAGCGGUAAUACGAGUGCCUCGAGCGUUAUCCGGAAUUAUUGGGCGUAAAGGGUGCGUAGGUGGUUGUGUUAGUCUUGUGUUAAAUUUACCGGCUCAACCGGUAAGCUGCAUGGGGAACGGCAUGACUAAGAGGUUAGAAGGGGUUUGCGGAACUCAUAGUGUAGCGGUGAAAUGCGUUGAUAUUAUGGGGAACACCAAAAGCGAAGGCAGCAAACUGGUCUACACCUGACACUGAGGCACGAAAGCGU